UACGUAGGGUCCGAGCGUUGUCCGGAAUUAUUGGGCGUAACGGGCUCGUAGGCGUUUCGUCACGUCGGGAGUGAAAACUCGGGGCUUAACCCCGAGCCUGCUUCCGAUACGGGCAGACUAGAGGUAGGCAGGGGAGAGCGGAACUCCUGGUGUAGCGGUGGAAUGCGCAGAUAUCAGGAAGAACACCGGUGGCGAAGGCGGCUCUCUGGGCCUUACCUGACGCUGAGGAGCGAAAGCGUGGGUAGCGAACAGG
Molecule: ribosomal RNA, 253 nt
Filed under: uncultured bacterium
Lineage: Bacteria
Description: partial 16S ribosomal RNA
Rfam family: Bacterial small subunit ribosomal RNA
Source: RNAcentral